RNAcentral lists this non-coding RNA (24 nucleotides) under Arabidopsis thaliana (thale cress). Lineage: Eukaryota; Viridiplantae; Streptophyta; Magnoliopsida; Brassicales; Brassicaceae. The record is from RNAcentral.
AUAGUACACCUAUAAUAGAGCUAU